Molecule: long non-coding RNA, 693 nt
Filed under: Homo sapiens (human)
Lineage: Eukaryota; Metazoa; Chordata; Mammalia; Primates; Hominidae
Description: HSALNT0008154
Source: RNAcentral
GUCAGCUUCUUCUGCGGGCUCUGCAGGAUGGCCAUGGUGAUGAGCGCGAUGUACGACCCGUCGUCGCCCUCGCCCACCACAUCGAUGUCCACGUCCUCGGCCGUCAGCACCGUCUGGCCGGACAUGUCGCUGGCGCUGCCGCCGCCGGAGAGGGUCAUCCCUCCUCGGGGUGUGGACAAAUCCUCCAAGAUUUAACUUCCAAGAAAACCGGCGGCGGAGCGGGUGGAGGAGGCGAGGAUGUGUGGCCAAUGCACGCGGAGUGCAAGGCCGCCUAGUUGGGAGCCGCAAGAGCCUGCCUGGUGUGGCAGGCACACGGAACCCAAUCCCUGUCUGUCCGCUGCGGCCUGGGAGGGGAGCGCCGGCCUCACCAGAGGAAGGAGCACGAGGGGAGGAGUUCCGAGAGGAAAUAAUUAGUGAAAUAUUUGCAGAAGAUGCUGGGAUGUGGAUUUAAUUCCGGAUGGACAGUGGUGCUUCUGAUUCCCUCAGUCUGUUUCCCCACCCACGAUCUCCUCUUUCCUUGGCCUAGACACACCAAAAAUAAUUCAAUAAAAUAAAAAUAAAAAUUUAAAAAUCUGUAAACUUGCUUCAUUACAGGCAUUGAGACACACAGAUUGACUUUCAUCCCCAUUAGACAGUUUCCCAGGAUAUAACACUACUCAUCUGAGGCUGGGAGCAGGGUAGGGGGUGGUGACA